GAACCAUAAGAGACUAUGGACUCUGAGAAACAAACAGGGUUUUAGAGGGGAAUGGGGGAGGAGGGAUUGGUUAGCCCGGUGAUGGGUAUUAAGGAGGGCACGUACUGCAUGGAGCACUGGGUGUUAUACGAAAACAAUGGAUCGUGGAUCACCACAUCAAAACCAACAUUACUUUCCAUUACUCUGUCCUCCAGGUCACUAAUUCAUUCCUUUGCUUCUUCUAGCCUGCUAUUUAUUCCAUAUAUUUUAAAUUUCAUUUAUUCUGUUCUUCAUCUCUGAUUGUUUCUUUUUUAUGUUUUGCUCUUUGUUAAGGGUCUCACUGAUGUCUUCACUCUUUUCUCAAGUCCAAUGAGUAUCUUUAUUUUUUUUAUUUUAAUUUUUUUAAGUAGGCUCCACACUGUGUGGAGCCCAAUGUGAGCCUUGAACUCAAGUCCAGUGAGUAUCUUUAUGACCAUUACUUUAAAUUCUUUAUCAGGCAUAUUACUUACAUCCAUUUCACUUAGGUCUCUUACUGUGGUUUGGUCCUCUUGUUUCAUUUGGCACAUACUCCUCUGUCUCCUCAGUUUGUCUAACUCUCUGUGUCUAUUUCUGUGUUUUAGGAAAGUCAGGUACAUCUCUCACUGUUGAAAGUAAUGGCCUUACGAAGAAGAGGUCCUGUAGUGCCCUGCAGUGCAGUGUCCCCUGUUCACCAGGACCUGGUUCUUUAGGGGAAGAUUUGGAAGAUAAAUUGUGGUGAAUUUCAGUCAAUUUCAACUCAGCACAGUAGCAGCUGUCCAACCUCCACCCCCAGUGGCAGGCUACUGUGCACAAGUUUCUGGAGCAGCUUGACCACCAGCAGCUUGUACAAGCCAGGAAUUGAAGGGAAAAAUAGACAAUUCUAUAUGGUUGAAGACUUCAAUACCCUACUCAUGAUAAUGACUAGGACUACCAUUCCAGAAGAUGAAAGGAAGGAAAUAACAGACAGAAGAUAAGUAAGAAAAUAAAAGACUUAAUACAAUAAACCAACUCCUCUAACAAACAUAUACAGAAUACUCUACUCAACAACAACAGCAUACAUAUUCUUCUUAAGUGCAUAUGGGACAUUUUUUAGGGUAGACCAUAUAUUAGGCCACAAAUUAAGUCUCAAUAGAUUUAAAAAUAUAAAUAUUAUGCAAAGUAUCUUCUAUGGGAUGAAACUAGAAAUAAAUAACAGAAGGAAAAUUGCAAGGUUCACAAAAUUGUGUUUAUUAAACAACAUACUUUUAAACAAACAAUAGUUUAAAGAAGAAAUCACAAAGGAAAUUAGGAAAUACUUUGAGAUGAAUGACAAACGAAAACACAAUAUACCAAGACUUAUGGAACUCAGCAAAAGCAGUGUUAAGGGGGAAAUUUAUAGCUAUAAACACAUUAAAAAACAAGAAAGAUCUCAAAUCAACAAACUAACCUUGCAAUUUAAGGAACUAGAAAAAGAAGAACAAACUAAGCCCAAAGCUAACAGAAAAAAGGAAAUAAUAUAGAUCACAGAUAAAUGAAAUAGAGAAUACAAAAACAAUAGAAAAAAAAGUCAAUGAAACCAGAAGUUUAAAUGAAACUAGAAGAUCAACAAAAUUGACAAAACUCUCAUUAGAUGACUAAGGAAAAAGAGAGAAGACUCAAAUUACUAAAAUCAGAAAUGAAAGUGGCAACAUAACUACUGAUUCUACAGACAUAACAAGGAUUAUGAGAGUUUUAUUAGCAAGUGCAUAUCAAAAAAUUGAAUAAUCUAGAUGAAAUGGACAAAUUACUAGAAAAAAAAAAACCUACCAAGACUAAAUUGUGAAGAAACAGAAAAUCUGAAUAGACCUAUAACUAGUAAGGAGAUUGAACUCACAAUAAAAAAUCUUCCUAGAAAGAAAGCCCUGGGCCUGCCUGAUGGCUUCACUAGUGAUUUCUACCAAACAUUAAAGAACUAAUGCCAAUCCUUCUCAGAGUUUUGCAAAAAACUGAAGAGGAGAUAACAAUUCCUAACUCAUUUUGUAAGGCCAGCAUUACCCUGAUACCAAAGCCAGAAAAAGACAUUACGAGAAAACUAUAGACCAAUGCCUUAUGAACAUUGAUGCAAAAAUCCUCUACAAAAUACCAGCAAACCAAAGUCAGCAGCACAUAAAAGGAUUAUGCACCACAAUCAAGUGUAAUUUAUCCCUAGAAUGUAAGGAUUUUUCAAUAUGAAAAAGCAAUCAAUAUAAUAUGUCACAUUAAUGGAAUGAAGGAAAAAAACCCACAUGAUCAUCUCAACUGAUACAGAAAAAGCAUUUGACAAAAUUCAACAAACUUUCAUGAUAAAAACAUUCUGAAAACUACGAAUAGUAGGAAAUGACCUCAACAUAAUAAAAGCCAUGUAUGAAAAACCCACAGUGAAUAUCAUAUUCCAUGGUAAAAGACUGAAAGCUUUUCCUCAGAAAAGGUAAGGAUGCCCACUUUUACCACUUCUAUUCAACAUAGUACUGGAAGAUCUAGCCAGAGCAAGUAGGCAGAAAAAAGAAAGACAUCGGGAAAUUGGAAAGGAUGAAGUAGAAUUAUUUCUAUUUGCAGAUGAUAUAAUCUUAUACAUAGAAAACCCUAAAGAACCCACGCACCAAAGAAAACAUAUUAGAACUAAUUAAUAAACUCAGCAAAGUAGCAGGAAACAAAGUCAACACAAAAAUCAGUUGCAUUUUUUAUAUACAUUUGACCCUUGAACAACAUGGGUUUGAACUGAAUGGGUCCAUUUAUACAUGGAUUUUUUAUAGUACAGUACUAUCAGUAUUUAUUUUUUCUUCCUUAUGAUUUUCUUAAUAAUAUUUUGCUUUCUCUAGCUUACUUUAUUGUAAAAAUACAGUAUAAAAUACAUGUAACAUACAAAAAUAUGUGUUGACUGUUUAUUUUAUUGGUAAGCCUUCUGGUCAGUAGGCUAUUAGUAGUUAAAUUUGGGGGGAGUCAAAGUUAUAUAUGCAUUUUCAACCACAUGGGUCAGCAGUCCUAACCCCUGUGCUCUUCAGGGGUCACCUGCAUUAACAAUGAACAAUUUGAAAAGGAAAUUACAAAAACAAUUUUUUUGUAAUAGCAUCAAAAAGAAUAAAAUAUUUAGGAAUUAACCAGGGAGAUGAAAGACUAGUACAUGAACCUUACAAAACAUUGCUAAGAGAAAUUAAAGAAGACAUAAAUAAAUGGAAACAUAUCAUGGAAUGGAAUGGAAGAUUUAGUAUCGUUAAAUGUCCAUAUUACCCAAAGCAAUCUACAGAGUCAAUGCAAACCCUAUCAAAAUGCCAAUUACAGUUUUAUAUAAAAAUAGAAAAAAACAUUUUAAAAUUCAUAUGGAAUCACAAGGGACCCCAAAUAGCCGAAAAAAUCUUGAAAAAGAAGAACUGGGGAACUCACACUUCCUGAUUUCAAAACUUACAAAACAAAAAUUAAAACAGUGUGGUACUGGCGUAAAGACAGACAUAUAGACCAAUGGAGUAGAAUAGAGAUCCCAGAAAUAAAGCCUCACAUAAUAUGAUCAAAUGAUUUUUGAAAAGGGUGCCUAGACCAUUCAAUGGGGAAGGACAGUCUUUUCAAGAAAUGAUGUUGGGAAAAAUGGUAUACAUAAGCAAAAUAAUGAAUUUGGACCUUUAGCUAACACCAUAUUAAAAAAAAAAACUAACUCAAAAUGGAUCAGACCUAAAUUUUAAAAAUUCUUGAAAGAAAACAUGUGCUAAAACUUCACAACAUUGGACUCAGCAAUGAUAUCUUAGCUAUGACACUAAUUACAGGUAACAAAAGAAAAAAUAAACAAAUUGGACUUCAUGAAAAUUAAAAUUUUUUUAAAUUUUUAAAUUUUUUAAAUUAAAUUGCAUAAAAGGAAACCUACAGAAUGGGAGAAAAUAUUUGCAAAUCAUAUAGCUGAUAAGGGAUUAAGAAUCAGAAUAUAUAGAGAACUCCUGAAAGUCAACAACAAAAACAAAACAAUAUGAUUGAAAGUAGGCAAAAGACUUGAGUACAUUUCUCCAAAGAAAAGGAAUGGCCAUUAAGCACAUGAAAAGAUACUCAGCAUCACUUAUCAUUCAGGAAAUGCAAAUCAAAGCUACGAUGAGAUAUCACCUAACAGUUAUUAGGAUGGCUAUUAUCAGGAAAACAGAAAACGAGUGUUGGCAAUGAUGAGGAGAAACUGGAACCCUUGUGCACAGCAAUAACUGGGGAGUUACUGUUUAAUAGGUAUAGAGUUUUGAUUUUACAAAAUGAAAAGAGUUAUGGGGAUGGAUUGUGGUGAUGGCUGCAAAACAAUGUGAAUGUAUUUAAUACCACUAAAGUGUACCCUUAAAAAUGGUUACGAUGGUAAACUUUAUAUUAUAUGUAUUUUAACAUAAUUCUAAAAAGAAUAGAAGAGUUAUGGAGAUGAAUUGUGGUGAUGAUUGCACAGCACUAUUAAUGUAUUUAAUAACCACUGAACUGUAUACUUAAAAAUGGUUAAGAUGGUAAAUUUUAUGUGUAUUUUACCACAAUAAAAAAAAUUGGAAAAAAAAUUACAAAAAUCUAGAUAUGUUCUAUUUGCAGUUUUCCUAUUUCUGUCCACUAUGCCUUCAUCUAAGCUUUCCCUUCUGCUUGAGUCCUUGUCUUCAGUCCUCCCCAGCUGCUCCCAGCCAUCCUACAAAGCUCAAGUGUCAAGAAGACCUUUUAACCUUCCUGGGUCAAGUUUUCCUUAAACUUUAAUGUGCAUAUAAAUCUGAGGAUCGUGGUAAAAUGUACAUUCAUUUACUCAGUCUUAGGUAGGGUCUGAGACUUUGCAUUUCUAAUAAGCUCCUAGGUAAAUCAGGUAGUGGUGAUCUAUGGAUCACAUUUGAGUGGGAAGGCUUUAGACUAGCAAUUCUCAAACUUUUUGUUUUAGGACCCCUAUAUGCUCUUAAAAAUUAUUGAGGACUCCAAUGAGCUUUGGUUUAUAUAAAUUAUAUCUAUCAGUAUACAUCAUGUUAGGAAAUAAAACUGAGGGGCGUCUGGGUGGCUCAGUGAGUAAAGCGUCUGCCUUUGGCUCAGGUCAUGAUCCUGGGGUCCUGGAAUGGAGCCCAGUGUCAGACUCCCUGCUCAGCUUCUCCUCUCCCUCUACCCUUCCCCACUGCUCAUGCUCUCUCUUUCUCUUGCUCUCUCUUUCUCUCCAAUAAAUAAAAUCUUUAAAACAAAGAAAAGAAAACUGAGAAAUAUAAAAAAAUAUUUAAUUCAUUUAAAAAUAACAAUAUCAAGCCCCUUAUAUGUUAGCAUAAAUAACAUUUUAUUUUUGCAAUAUCUCUUUAUUUUUUCUUAAAGAUUUUACCUAUUUAUUUGAAAGACAGAGAGAGAGCACGAGAGGGGGGAAGGUCGGAGGGAGAAGCUGAGCAGGGUGCCUGAUGUGGGACUCGAUCCUGGAACUCAAUCUGGGACUUGAUACCGGGACUCCAGGAUCAACACCUGAGCUGAAGGCAGACCCUUAACUGACUGAGCCACCUAGGCACCCCUGCAAUAUCUCUUUAAUAUCUGGUUCCACUCUAUCAUAAAUGGGCAAAUCCAACAGGUUUAAAGUCUGUAAGGAUAUAAUUGAACUCAAUGGCAACAUCAAUCAACUGGGUAUAAUGGAUAUCUAUAGACUACUUUAUCCAAGAACACCAGAAUAUACAUUCUUCUCAGGUCACACGAAACAUUUACCAAAAUAGACCACAUUCUGGGCUAUAAAACAUGCCUUACAAAAUUUAAAAGAAUAGAAAUCAUACAAUGUCUGCUCUAGACCAUAAUUGAAGUAAACUAGAAAUCAGUAACAGAAAGAUAGCUAGAAAAUCCCAAAAUACUUAGUGAUUAAACAACACACUUCUAACUAACACAUGGGUCAAAAAAGAAAUCUCAAGAGAAAUUAAACAAUAUUUUGAACUAAAUAAAAAUGAAAAGAGAACUUAACAAAAUUUGUAGGAUGGAGCAAAAGCAGUGCUUAGAGGGAAAUUUAUAGCAUUGAAUGCCUAUAUUAGAAAAGAAGAGAAGAAAGAGCUAAAAUCAGUCACCUAAGCUUCCAUUUUAGGAAACUAGAAAAAGAAGAGCAAAUUAAAUUCAAAGUAAAUAGAAGAAAAGGGAUAAUAAAAAUUAGAGCAGAAAUUUAUGAAAUUGAAAACAGGAAAUGAAUAGAGAAAAUCAAACCAAAAGCUGGUUCUUUGAAAAGAUCAAUAAAAUCAACAAGCCUCUAGCCAGGCUAACUAAGUUAAAAAGGGAGAGGACACAAAUUCCUAACAUCAGAAAUGAAAGAAAGGCCAUCACUACAGGUCCCAUGGACAUUAACAGAAUAGUAAAGUAAUACCACAAACGAUUCUAUGCCCAUGAAUUUGAUGGCAUAGGUGAAAUUGACCAAUUCCUUGAAAUACUCAAUCUGCCAAAACUCACACUAGAAGAAUUAAAAAUAUGAAUAAACCUAUUUAAGAAAUUGAAUCAACAAUUAAUAAUGUUCCAAAACAGAAAGAUCAGGCCCAGGUAGGUACACUGGUGAAAUCUUUCAAACAUUUAAGGAAGAAAUUAUGCCAAUUCUCUACAAUUUCUUUCAGAACAUAGAGCAGAGAGAAUACUUCCUAACCCAUUUUAUGAGGCAAGCAUUACCCUAAUACCAAAACCAGACAAAGAGAUUAUAAGAAAAUAAAACUACUGACCAAUAUUUCUCAUGAACAUAGAUGCAAAAAAUCCUCAAAAGUUAGCAAAAAAAAAAUUAGCAAAUAGAAUCUAACAAUAUGAAAAGAAUUAUAUACCAAGUGAGAUUUACCCCAGGUAUGCAAGGCUGGUUCAACAACUGAAAAUCAAUUAAUGUAAUUCAGCACAUCAACAGGCUAAUGGAAGAAAAAUCCCAUGAUCAUAUCAAUAGGCACAGAAAAAGCAUUUGACAAAAUCCAACACUCAUACAUGAUACUCUCAGUAAACUAGGAAUAGAGGGGAAUUUCCUCAGAUUGAUAAAAACUAUCUACAAAAAACCCUACAGCUAGCAUCAUACUAAAUGGUGAGAAAUUCAAAGCUUUUCACUAAAAUAAGGAAUAUGGUAAGUACCCUCUCACCACUGCUUUUUAAUAUCAUACUGGAAGUCCUAGAUAAUGCAAUAAAACAAGAGAAGGAAUCAAAGAUAUACAGACUGAGAAGGAAGAAAUAAGUCUGACUUUGUUCAUAGAUGACAUGAUCAUUUAUGUAAAAAAAUCCAAAAGAAUGAACCAGAGAACUCUUGAAACUAAUAAGUCAUUAUAGCAAGAUGGCAGGAUACAAGACUAAUAUGCAAAAGUCAGUUGCUUUCCUGUAUAUACCAGCAAUAAACAGGGGGAAUUUGAAAGUCAAAUUGAAAUACCAUUUACAUUAGCCACUCCCCAAAAUGAAAUACUUAUGUAUAAAGUUAACAAAAUAUGUAGAAGACCUAUUUGAGGAAAACUACAAAAUUCUGAUGAAUGAAAUCAAAUAAGAACUAAAUAAAUGGAAAGGGGCACCUGGGUGGCUCAAUCGUUGAGUGUCUGCCUUUGAUUCAGGUCAUGAUCCCAGGGUCCUGGGAUAGAGCCCCACAUUGGGCUCCCUAUUCCGCGGGAAGCCUACUUCUCCCUCUUCCACUCCCCCUGCUUGUGUUCCCUCUCUCACAGUGUCUCUCUGCGUAAUAAAUAAAUAAAAUCUUAAAAAAAUUUUUUUAAUAAAUGGAGAGAUAGUCCAUGUACAUGAAUAGGAAGACUCAAUAUUGUUAAGAUGUCAGUUCUUUCCAACUUGAUCUAUAGAUUCAAGGCAAUCUCAAACAAAAUCCCAGCAAGUUAUUUUAUGGAUAUCAACACCCGAUUCUCCAUUUUUAUGGAGAGGCAAAAGAUUCAGAAUAACCAACAGAUUAUUGAAGAAGAACAAAGUUGGAGGACUGAUGCUACCCUACUUCAAGGCUUACUAUAAGGCUAUAGUAAUCAAGACAGUAUGGUAUUGGUAAAAGAAUGGACAAAUAGAUCAGUAGAACAGCAUAGAGUCCAGAUAGUCCCACACAAAUACAGUCAAUUGAUCUUUAACAAAGGAGCAAAGGCAAGUAAUACAAUGGAGAAAAGAUAGUCUUUUCAACAAAUGUACUAGAAUGGCUACACA
This is a long non-coding RNA of Mirounga angustirostris (Northern elephant seal), 8064 nucleotides long. RefSeq lists it as uncharacterized. NCBI's taxonomy places the organism in Eukaryota, Metazoa, Chordata, Mammalia, Carnivora, Phocidae. The record is from RefSeq and is a predicted model, not a curated record. The transcript is spliced from 3 exons.